UGGCACUUACAUUAAUGUGAGAGUACCUUCACAAGAAAGUGGAAAGUAUCGAACAAGGAAAGGAACUAUUGCUAUGAAUGUAUUGGGUGUUUGUUCAACCAAUAUGGAGUUUAUUUAUGUACUCCCGGGUUGGGAAGGCUCUGCCCAUGAUGUACGAGUCCUUCGCAAUGCUCUCUCUAGGCCAAAUGGUUUUAAGGUACCUCGUGGUAAUUACUAUUUGGUUGAUGCGGGAUAUACCAACUGUCAGGGCUUUCUUGCUCCAUAUAGAGGGCAAAGAUAUCACCUUAAAGAAUGGGAGGGCAGACGACCUGAAAGUGCUGAAGAAUAUUUUAAUAUCAAGCAUGCUAGAGCAAGAAAUGUGGUAGAAAGGUACUUUGGUUUACUUAAAGGAAGAUGGAGCAUACUUAGGAGUCCCUCGUUUUUUCCCAUUCGCACCAAAGGGUGCAUUGUUAUCGCUUGUUGUUUACUUCAUAAUUUAAUUAGGAGUGUCAUGGCUACAGAUGAUAUAGAGGAAGGUGAGUUGAGUUAAGAUGACUCUGAUGAUGAUUCCGAUUAUGAACCAGAAUUUAUAACAAGUGUUGAAACUACAGAUCAAUGGACCAAUUUUAGAAACACAUUAGCACAAGGCAUGUUUAAUGGUUGGAGGGCAAGAGUUAGAGAUGGUCAAUAGUUAGGCAUAAAAUAAUGGAGCAAGAGGGAAGCAGAGGUAGAGUUAAAAAUAAGAUAUUCUGGACAUAUGAGGAAGAUAAUGUGCUAAUAAAGUACCCUCUUGAGUUGUCUUGUGAUUCUAUAUGGAAAAGUGAAAGUGGUUUCAAGA
Long non-coding RNA from Spinacia oleracea (spinach), 817 nucleotides. RefSeq lists it as uncharacterized. The transcript has 3 exons. Lineage: Eukaryota; Viridiplantae; Streptophyta; Magnoliopsida; Caryophyllales; Amaranthaceae. The record is from RefSeq and is a predicted model, not a curated record.